This 253-nucleotide ribosomal RNA is filed under the name uncultured bacterium. Its description in RNAcentral is "partial 16S ribosomal RNA". It matches the Rfam family "Bacterial small subunit ribosomal RNA", at positions 524 to 776 of the family's 1533-position model. The record is from RNAcentral.
UACGUAGGGGGCAAGCGUUGUCCGGAUUUAUUGGGCGUAAAGAGCGUGUAGGCGGCCAUACAGGUCCGUUGUGAAAACUGGAGGCUUAACCUCCAGACGUCGAUGGAAACCGUAUGGCUAGAGUCCGGAAGAGGAGAGUGGAAUUCCUGGUGUAGCGGUGAAAUGCGCAGAUACCAGGAAGAACACCCGUGGCGAAGGCGGCUCUCUGGGACGGUACUGACGCUGAGACGCGAAAGCGUGGGGAGCGAACAGG